This 1067-nucleotide long non-coding RNA is filed under the name Cairina moschata (Muscovy duck). RNAcentral's name for it is "domestica (muscovy Duck (domestic type)) lncRNA (ENSCMMG00000002462.1)". Lineage: Eukaryota; Metazoa; Chordata; Aves; Anseriformes; Anatidae. The record is from RNAcentral.
AUAACCAUUUCAAGAAGCUCCUUACCACUCUCUAUUUUGCAGGCGCUUGUGAAGAAAGCAAGCAUACAUGCCACAGCAGCACGUAGGUUGCUCUGUCAGGAUGGGGGGGGAUCCGACUUUCUGCCGUUUGUCAUAACAGCAGUGGCAGGAGAAGGAAAAUAAAACCAGCUUAUCAUCCUAGCACGCAUCCAGCCCCGGCAGCUGGGGGAAACAAAAGCGAAGAGAUGUAAGGCACAGGUGGAAGCACUGGAUGCGGCGUGUGCUCGGAGGAGCAAGGAGGUCACUGGAGCCCUGUGUGAUGGUGGGCUCUCACAGUGAACUCAUCCAGUGGUCCAUCCCGCCUGUGCAUUUCAUAAGAAAAAUUCCAUGUUGAGGUGAGAUGGAAAGCUCUGUGGUGGUGAAGGGGAGGUGAAGCAGUUUUGUGUCUUUUCUUUUACAUAUUCUAUGAGUGCAACAUUGAGCACACGCUAUAAUUUACAAUGACUUUGCCAGCAUAAAUUUACUAAUAUUUCACCCACAAUAAUUUUACCAACUGGACACUUUUUUUUUUUUCCAGCCUGUUCUGGCAGAGGAACUCACACAGAUAGAAAUCUGAUGGUGCAAUUGUACUAAAGAAAACCCUGCAAGCACAGCCAGGACUAAUUACUCUAACCUCAGACCUGGCUGCUGUCCACACGACGAGGCUCUGUGCCGGCACAUGGACUAGCAGAGUUUGUAGAGGAACAAACUGAUGGAGAAACAGGAAUGAAAGGCUACACUUGUGCAACCUUUAUGGCCCCAGAAAUACUUCAACAUACAAUGAAGAUGUUAUGCCAGUAAGUUUUGGUCCAUAGAUGCUACUACUUAGUAAGCCCAUAGGGUUAAGCCUAGAAAAAUGAGGAUCUUGAAGGCAUUUUAAAAUUCAUCUGUAUCUUGUAACCAAGUAAAGUUAUGUAAUUGCCUGUGCUGAUGUAAAGACGUGGAUGUAACCUUGAGACAUGGCUAUUCCUUUGGUAUUUGACAGAUUGUUGGUGAUCGUUUUCCAGAAUGAAUGGACUCCAGAGUGGGUUGAACAGGGUGGAGGAAGC